This 205-nucleotide long non-coding RNA is filed under the name Sorghum bicolor (sorghum). RNAcentral's name for it is "long non-coding RNA (SBIC_LNC005431)". The record is from RNAcentral. Lineage: Eukaryota; Viridiplantae; Streptophyta; Magnoliopsida; Poales; Poaceae.
UAAUAAUAAAAGUAAUACUCUUGCCUAAUGAAUUCUUCAAUGAUGAUAAUGCUCCAAUGGUGGAUAAUGGUCACUUCGGUGACGAAGAUGUUGCGGUGCUUGCGAGCAUCGUGGUUUGUUGAGGAAAGAGGGAGCAGAUACUGUUGGUUGGUCCGGUUGCCGGGCGUACCCAUCUCUCCUCUCCGUAAGGACUUAGUCAUGGUGC